RNAcentral lists this ribosomal RNA (460 nucleotides) under uncultured bacterium. RNAcentral's name for it is "partial 16S ribosomal RNA". It matches the Rfam family "Bacterial small subunit ribosomal RNA", at positions 338 to 795 of the family's 1533-position model. The record is from RNAcentral.
CCUACGGGUGGCAGCAGUGAGGAAUAUUGGUCAAUGGGCGCGAGCCUGAACCAGCCAAGUAGCGUGAAGGAUGACUGCCCUACGGGUUGUAAACUUCUUUUAUAAAGGAAUAAAGUGAGGCACGUGUGCCUUUUUGUAUGUACUUUAUGAAUAAGGAUCGGCUAACUCCGUGCCAGCAGCCGCGGUAAUACGGAGGAUCCGAGCGUUAUCCGGAUUUAUUGGGUUUAAAGGGAGCGUAGAUGGGUUGUUAAGUCAGUUGUGAAAGUUUGCGGCUCAACCGUAAAAUUGCAAUUGAUACUGGCAGUCUUGAGUACAGUUGAGGUAGGCGGAAUUCGUGGUGUAGCGGUGAAAUGCUUAGAUAUCACGAGGAACACCAGUGGCGAAGGCAGCUUACUGAACUGUCACUGACAUUGAUGCUCGAAAGUGUGGGGAGCAAACAGGAUUAGAUACCCGUGUAGUC